GAGUUUGAUCCUGGCUCAGAUUGAACGCUGGCGGCAGGCCUAACACAUGCAAGUCGGACGGUAGCACAGAGAGCUUACUCUUGGGUGACGAGUGGCGGACGGGUGAGUAAUGUCUGGGGAUCUGCCCGAUAGAGGGGGAUAACCACUGGAAACGGUGGCUAAUACCGCAUAACGUCGCAAGACCAAAGAGGGGGACCUUCGGGCCUCUCACUAUCGGAUGAACCCAGAUGGGAUUAGCUAGUAGGCGGGGUAAUGGCCCACCUAGGCGACGAUCCCUAGCUGGUCUGAGAGGAUGACCAGCCACACUGGAACUGAGACACGGUCCAGACUCCUACGGGAGGCAGCAGUGGGGAAUAUUGCACAAUGGCGCAAGCCUGAUGCAGCCAUGCCGCGUGUAUGAAGAAGGCCUCGGUU
RNAcentral lists this ribosomal RNA (414 nucleotides) under uncultured bacterium. Its description in RNAcentral is "bacterial SSU rRNA". It matches the Rfam family "Bacterial small subunit ribosomal RNA", at positions 9 to 424 of the family's 1533-position model. The record is from RNAcentral.